GAAAUGCGAUAAGUAGUGUGAAUUGCAGAAUUCAGUGAAUCAUCGAAUCUUUGAACGCACAUUGCGCCCCUUGGUAUUCCAUGGGGCAUGCCUGUUCGAGCGUCAUUUGUACCCUCAAGCUCUGCUUGGUGUUGGGUGUUUGUCCCCGUCUCCGCGCGUGGACUCGCCCCAAAGUGAUUGGCAGCCGGCGUACUGGUCCCGGAGCGCAGCACAUGUCGCGCAAACAAGUGCCUUGGUACGGCGGCGUCCAUAAGCCCCUCUCUCACGCUCUUGACCUCGGAUCAGGUAGGGAUACCCGCUGAACUUAAGC
This 310-nucleotide unclassified non-coding RNA is filed under the name plant metagenome. RNAcentral's name for it is "partial contains 5.8S ribosomal RNA, internal transcribed spacer 2, and large subunit ribosomal RNA". The stretch from base 1 to 105 matches the Rfam family "5.8S ribosomal RNA", at positions 50 to 154 of the family's 154-position model. The record is from RNAcentral.